UUUCCCUCAGGAUAGCUGGCACUCGCGCGAGCGAGUCUCAUCUGGUAAAGCGAAUGAUUAGAGGCCUUGGGGCCGAAACGACCUCAACCUAUUCUCAAACUUUAAAUGGGUGAGAUCUCUGGCUUGCUUGAAUGGUGAAGCCACGAGAUUUCGGAUCAGAGUGCCAAGUGGGCCAAUUUUGGUAAGCAGAACUGGCGCUGUGGGA
RNAcentral lists this ribosomal RNA (205 nucleotides) under Coptera sp. MJY64. RNAcentral describes it as "partial 28S ribosomal RNA". It matches the Rfam family "Eukaryotic large subunit ribosomal RNA", at positions 967 to 1163 of the family's 3401-position model. Lineage: Eukaryota; Metazoa; Arthropoda; Insecta; Hymenoptera; Diapriidae. The record is from RNAcentral.